This 294-nucleotide long non-coding RNA is filed under the name Cyanistes caeruleus (blue tit). RNAcentral describes it as "lncRNA (ENSCCEG00000011283.1)". Lineage: Eukaryota; Metazoa; Chordata; Aves; Passeriformes; Paridae. The record is from RNAcentral.
AUGCUAAGUGAUCAGAUUCUCUCAUCUCAUGCACAGAAAAAUCUGUGGCAGCCCUUGAAGGAAACGUAUUUGCAUCUACUUCAACCGAUGGAUGAGGAGUGUGCAGGACAGAGAGAGAUAUGUCCAGGAGGAAUUAAUAAUCCCAACUACUUUCUUCACUGCAUUUGUAAAAUGGCUUUAGAAGAAAGUUUCUUAGUUACUCUGGGAUAUUUUUCUGUGCAAUCAGGGCUUCCAGUAGGAGUACUUCAUUGCCAAAAAUACGACACGACCUCAUGCUUGCCAGCCCUCAUUUGA